AACGUAGGAGACAAACGUUAUCCGGAGUUACUGGGCGUAAAGGGCGUGUAGGCGGUUUCGUAAGUCUGGCGUGAAAUAUCUCGGCUUAACCGAGGCAGGUCGUCGGAUACUGCGAGGCUAGAGGACGGUAGAGGCGUGUGGAAUUCCGGGUGUAGUGGUGAAAUGCGUAGAGAUCCGGAGGAACACCAGUGGCGAAGGCGACACGCUGGGCCGUACCUGACACUGAUGCGCGACAGCAUGGGGAGCAAACAGG
RNAcentral lists this ribosomal RNA (253 nucleotides) under uncultured bacterium. RNAcentral describes it as "partial 16S ribosomal RNA". It matches the Rfam family "Bacterial small subunit ribosomal RNA", at positions 524 to 776 of the family's 1533-position model. The record is from RNAcentral.